RNAcentral lists this ribosomal RNA (314 nucleotides) under uncultured bacterium. RNAcentral's name for it is "bacterial SSU rRNA". It matches the Rfam family "Bacterial small subunit ribosomal RNA", at positions 28 to 334 of the family's 1533-position model. The record is from RNAcentral.
GAUGAACGCUAGCGGCAGGCCUAACACAUGCAAGUCGAGGGGCAGCGGGAAAGUAGCUUGCUACUUUUGCCGGCGACCGGCGCACGAGUGCGUAACGCGUAUGUAACCUACCUCAAACAGGGGCAUAACACUGAGAAAUUGGUACUAAUUCCCCAUAACACCAGAGAGGGCAUCCUCUUUGGUUGAAAGUUCCGGCGGUUUGAGAUGGACAUGCGUUGUAUUAGCUAGUUGGUGAGGUAACGGCUCACCAAGGCUACGAUACAUAGGGGGACUGAGAGGUUAACCCCCCACAUUGGUACUGAGACACGGACCAA